RNAcentral lists this ribosomal RNA (492 nucleotides) under uncultured bacterium. Its description in RNAcentral is "partial 16S ribosomal RNA". It matches the Rfam family "Bacterial small subunit ribosomal RNA", at positions 29 to 507 of the family's 1533-position model. The record is from RNAcentral.
AGUGAACGCUGGCGGUAGGCCUAACACAUGCAAGUCGAACGGCAGCACAGUAAGAGCUUGCUCUUACGGGUGGCGAGUGGCGGACGGGUGAGGAAUACAUCGGAAUCUACUUUUUCGUGGGGGAUAACGUAGGGAAACUUACGCUAAUACCGCAUACGACCUACGGGUGAAAGCAGGGGAUCUUCGGACCUUGCGCGAUUGAAUGAGCCGAUGUCGGAUUAGCUAGUUGGCGGGGUAAAGGCCCACCAAGGCGACGAUCCGUAGCUGGUCUGAGAGGAUGAUCAGCCCCACUGGAACUGAGACACGGUCCAGUCUCCUACGGGAGGCAGCAGUGGGGAAUAUUGGACAAUGGGCGCAAGCCUGAUCCAGCCAUACCGCGUGGGUGAAGAAGGCCUUCGGGUUGUAAAGCCCUUUUGUUGGGAAAGAAAAGCAGCAGGUUAAUACCCCGCUGUUCUGACGGUACCCAAAGAAUAAGCACCGGCUAACUUCGUG